AUGAGUUUGAGCACUUGAUGUUUUAUACUUGAAAGACAAAUGAACUUGUUUUGGUUAUACCUCUCCCUGUUAAUUAUGGGUGAUUUCCUUCUUUCAAAUUAUAUAUGUUCUGUUUUGAGCUAUCUCUCUGCCUGGUAAUAAAAGUAUGUGCAUUGGUUGAUAUUUAGUAUUCGUAUGUCUAGUUCAUGAUGAUGGUCACUUGCGGCAGAGGCACCGAUAUUUUGGUGUCUAGAUAUUCGUCGCCGAUAACUAAGCACGCAAUGCUUGUAUAUACCGAGUUUUUACUGCCUAGUAGUGAGCACACCUAGCCCCAGUCACCUACUUCAAUCAAAGAAACUAAGAAUGUUCAUAGUAAUUUGAAAAGUAUCUCAUGCUUGAUGCUUAUACACUUGCAUACACAUCCCUCCUCCUAUUCCUCCUCUCGUCUCCCACAAUCUGAUUUGUGUGUGCAUUUAUUUUUGCAGGUUCGUGAAGAGGCCAAUCUGGUGUUGUGAAAGAAGGGGGCUGUCCAUGGAGAAGAUCCCGCGGCGAGCUCCUCAGGGAAGGCAAGUUGUCGCACCUGGAGAACUUGCCCAUCAAAGGGAGCAAUGAAGACAUUGUUAGGACAGUACCAAAUGUGCUCCUACGUGUUGAACAAUGUUAUGUAGUAGUGAGAUAAGGCAAAUUAUGUAGACAUUGUUAGGACAGUACCAGAUGUGCUCCUACGUGUUGAACAA
This is a long non-coding RNA of Triticum aestivum (bread wheat), 716 nucleotides long. RefSeq lists it as uncharacterized. NCBI's taxonomy places the organism in Eukaryota, Viridiplantae, Streptophyta, Magnoliopsida, Poales, Poaceae. The transcript is spliced from 2 exons. The record is from RefSeq and is a predicted model, not a curated record.